UUGGUACAAAUAUUUUACAUUUAUUGGAAGAGUACAGUAAAAAGGGGGCUGCAGACUCAUUAGUGGUAACUGGUCCAUAGGAGAAGACACAGGACUAUUCAAAAAAGGUCUGCAGUUUACAAGAAUAUUGAAAUUUUGUUUUAACAGCCUAGGAAAAUAAAAAAGUUAGAUUGGGUUCAAAAAUGUAACUUUAAUAAAAAUUGGCAAAUAAAUAAAGUUAAAAUGCAGAUCUAUUUAAAAUUAUAAAGGACAGAUAACUGGCAACUGUAUUAUAUAGUUAUUUCAGACUUGCUUAAAAGUCAGAUAAAUGCACAACUGUUGUUUCCCUUUUAUCUUUUUUACAUGUGUACUUUUGGGAAGAAGCACCCAUUUCCAGUGUUAUGUUUUAUCAAUCUGUUUCACAAAUAUAUUAUUUUUAAACAACAAAGAGUAUAAAAGGUGCUUUACCUGACAAACUUGCUGGUGCAUACUUUGGCACAAAAUCAAAUAGAAAUCUAAACACAUUUGCAAAUGGUAUCUGUGCUCCACUCAAGGUUACUGGUGUCAAAAGUCUUGUGUGCGCUAGCAGGUCAGUGACCAACCUUCCUUCCAUUCCCAACACCUCUCCUCCAUCUCCAGCUGCCUAUGGUACAAAGGAAAAGUAACACUUGCAACUGAAACAAGCAGCAGUCCCACCAAUCUUAGUCCAACUUCCAUCUCUGGAAACCACAUGAACAUGCAUGUAACUACACACUCCUUUAACAGAAGGGACAAGGCAGGUGUUUGUUGCUGGCUUUCAGACCUCAAGAUUUUCUUUGCAGGAGUCUGCCUGCCUUUUGUGUCCUGUGUGAUGAACCUGUAUCAUGAUUUUUUUCCUAUUUCAUGUUUUUAGCAAAAAUUAGGGGGGAAGUUGAGUGGAAAAAGAAAAAGGUAAGUGGUCAGUUACAGGUAAUGAUACAAUUAACAGCAGAAACAGGUAUGUUUCUUCUAGUAUGUUUCUGUCUAUUGAAGACUUGGAAGACUUUAAAUCUGUGACAUGACUGAGCAGGAGGUGGAAGGAAAAUAAUGCAGCAGCUCCCCACUGUAUAUUGCAUUUCAUGACACAGAAAAAAAUGUCACAAUUUCUGCUUAAAGCACUACAACUUCAGGUGAUUUAAGGAAUUAGCUGCACUCAGAGGUACAGCAGACUUCCAGUCUCUAGUGAAUUUAUUAGCGACUCGCCGUGAGCACAGGCAUAUUAUAAAGAGAGGCCAUGCAGACCUUCUCUAUGGCAUCCUCACUGCAUCCACACUAGCUAUCAGCCACCUGAACUGGCUACCUCAACACAGCAGUUCUCUGAUGAACUAGAGAGGAAGGAACGUACCUUCCUGUCGAGUUCAACUCAAAUAGAAAAAUUACCAUUGCAGAGAUAUCUUGACCAAGGAAUACUGCUGUUCAAACUGUGUAACAGGUUUUAAUUGUACCCAUUACUUCAGUGAUAUUUAAAAUGCAUUAACCCAUAUCAAGUCAGCCAUCCAGUGAAAGAACAGUUCCCUGUAGACUUUUACUGACUUAGCAAUGCUUAUCUUCUGAAGUUGCACUUCGUGGUGGUGGUGGGGGGUAUAAUCACCAGUAUAAGUAAAUGUUCUAUGAUAUGCAGAAGUCAGAUUUCUAAAAGCAAAAUGGAUGACAAUAAUGAAAAUUAACACUAUUUGUAAAGGUGUGUUAAGUAGAAGGAAGUUUACAAAGACGCUUAGUUGGAAUUAAGUCACUUCUGUUAAUUUUAAAGACAGUGUUUGGAACUGGUUGGGCAACAUAAUCAUUCCUUUUCCAAGGAGCAUAUUUAGGGUUAUAUUUAUUCCGUAGUAGAAGCAGGAUGCUCUGUAUUGUAAACUAGGCAGUUGGGAAUGUUGUUUUUCUGAUGUCUUUCGCAGUGUGGACAAUUUACAAUAUAUUUAGAGUUUGUAACAUGAUUAAAAACAUGAUUUGAACAAUGUGCAUCAACUUGAUUCACAGUUACUUCUGUUUUCAUACAAAUACAUUGCCACAGGUAUCAGGGUAUAACAUCACUGCAAUAUUCUUGAGUCAAAAAAAAGAAAAAAAGCAGAGAUAUAUUUGAACUUUUCUGUCACAAGAGUAACUUUUUUUAAGCACGUGAAAGGGCAUCAUCUGUGGUACACGGACACAUCAGAAUCAGGAAAUGUUUGGGAGAUGCAAUAAGGGAGAUUACUACAGCAGAAAUCAGCUAGAACUGUAAGCUUACUGCAGCCCUUCUGAAAAGCAGAAAUAUUCUUUAAGAACUGAAGCGAAACAUCAGAAUAAAGUAGUUUAUAUAUCAUUCAUCCAAGCUUUUUGGUUACUACUGCAUUUAACAAUUAUGGAAUUCUUUACAUGCUGAGAAAGACUGAACUGGCUACAUGCAAAGGCAGUAGUGUGAAUCUUUCUUUAGUGGUGGAAACCUCUGGCAUAUAGUUUCAGUAUGUAACCUAGAGGAAUCAUAGAUCCAUCCAAUUUUUCUUUUAAAAAGCGUAAUUGCCUUAAAUUGAGUUUCAAUGGAGAAGCAUGCACUGUCUCUCUUACCAAACUCAGAAAACUUAAGUUAUGUACUUAUCUAUAACCAUUUGUAGUUCUAAAACUAGAUGACAGUUCCAGAUACUAGCAAUUUAGGAGCACUUUUUUGCAAACUUUCUUUGCCUGUAGCAAUGUGAGUCUUAUGUUAUCAUACUGGUUUGUGAACUUAUUUAUAUUUAUCUAUAAACACAAAGCCAGCUACUGCAAGUUCUAUUUACAAAGCAUUCAAUUCUGGGAGUAUAGAGAAAGAAAGAAUGUAUGUAGUUCAUGGCUUCUCUAUGUUUUCACUUUAUGACCUCUGUCAAUUAUAUUUGAGGGCUUUAUUUAUCCAUUUUUUUGCAAAUAUGGCUAACAGGUUUGGAUUUAGAGAAGGCACACAUAAUCUGAGAUUUAUAAAUGAACUACUCUCAUAGCUAUAAUCUGAAACAGUUGCAAAAUAACAAUGUAUGUAGCUAGCAAUAUAACUAGUCCUUCAUCAGACAAGAAAAAAAAACCCCAAACCAAACCAUCUGAAAAUCCUUACUUAAGUCCUACCUAGAUGAUGCCUAUGAAAAUUGUGUUCUAAACGAGCUAAUAAUGUACAAUUUCCUGAAAAUGAACCAACUCAGAGUUAACACCCAAGUUCUACACCUGGACAUACACUCCAGUUAGAAUUUUAUGUUAAAGAGACAGAGAGACACAACAGGGACAUAAGGGUACCUUUCAGUUACUGGUGGAGGUAGCAUGCCCUUGAAGCAAAAAGUAAAUAUAUCUCUGAACCUUCCUGUUUUCUUGAUAAGUAGUAAGGCUGAAAUACAGAAAUUUCUUUUGCUUAUUUGACAGAGAACCAAGCCCAAAUUGGCUUCUAGAGACAAAUCUGUGAAAUUUUGGGGAUUAGCUGCUGAUUUAAAGACAAUGUCUAGCUUCCAGCUCCUGUUCCGUUUGGUGCUUAUUAUAAUGAACACAAUGACUCUGAUGAUAGCUGAAUGUGGAAGUUAAGGAAAAUGUAGGAGCUGCCAGGCAGAUCUUGCUGCACUUUUCAAUGAGAGAAUCUUCCCUUCUGUGGUCUAAAAGUAAAGUUGAGUGUUUGUAACACACUAAUAUGCAAUGCUGAAAAUUAUGUUAGAGCGGAAACCACACGUGCAUUAUCAGUUUCAGGAAAGAAGAUGUGGCAAUACUUGAAUGACUGUUCAAAAUGUGACAAGUGAAAGUAUUCUUCUGCUUCAGUUUGGACCUUUCAGCUUUUUAAGCUUUUUUAUUUAUUUUUAUUUAUUAUUUAUUUAUUUAGUUAUUUAACGAAAGCUAUCCUGUGGGGAUUCUAGUACAAGAUUACAAAAAAAUAUUUCUUUACUUAAGUUACUCUUACAGAAGCUUGAUAGGUUUCUGAGCCUGAUGCAAUUUUCUUGUAACUUGUUACUGAUGAUUGUUUAAGGACUGCUUCUUUUAUGGUAAAUCUGCAGAAGGAAACUAGAAGCAAGGAUUUUUAACAGAGCUGAUGUUCCAAACUUACCAGAUUACUCUUGAAAACUCCUGGUUGUUUGGAACUUCAGAAAUACUUUACCUGCCCUGUACUUUCUAAUUAGUUAUUAAAGUCCUGUAUUCCUGAAAGUGAAGAAUUGAACGAAUGACUCUAAGAAGGAAAAAAAUUUACCUUGCUUGGUAGUAGGGGUAUUCUUCCCUCUUAUUCUUCCCUCCACAUAUCCUGACUUGCCUAGCAAGAAUGCUUCCAAAAAUAUCACAAGUCCUCUAGUGCUUUAGGAAAAAAAAUUCAUCAGUUUCUUUUAAUAUCAAACUCAUGCUCAGUCAUAGAAUUGUUGCAAAUCCAAGUGCACUCAGGAGAGUGGUUUUUUUCUUUAAUGUCUUUGCAAUGGAUGCAAAAAAAGGUAACAAAAUAGUUAUAAGGGACAGCAAAUAGAUAACUUCAUAGUUUUAGUGAUGUGCAGUAGAUUUCAGUGAUGUGCUUGUAGGAUUUGAGUAAGAAUAAUUGAUGGUCAAAGAAAUGGAUGAAAAAGUACUUUAGUCUGAAAAAUCUACUAUUGCCUUAAAUAGUCUUCUGUUUCUCAUGAGUAAGAUCUGGCUUACUUUACAAACUGCAGUUCUUACUGACAGCCUUCUGGUGAUGCAUGUUCCAAUGACAACUUCCAAUGAAAACAUUAGGAAACUCUGCAGAAAGGCAGAUUUUUGUUAAGAAGAAAUGAAAUAUAACUGUAGCUGCUAAAUGAAAACUAGUUCAUUGGUUUCCUUAGAAACUAAUGAAAAUGUAUGUUUCAAAGAGAACGCAUUGAUGGGAUGCUGACUCUACAAGAUCUCACUUUGCUGAACCAAGGUUUGUUUUCAGACAAGACACUUUUCGCUAUCUUACUUUCCAUUAAAUUAAAAUGCUUAGGAAUCCUCAUGAUUUCACUGAUGACUGAACUCUAAAGCUAACGUGUGCUUAAUUUCCAUUGAAAACAAACUAAGGAUACAUUUUUUUGCCCUCAAAACAAUCUUUCUUAAUAAAUGCAAUUCCUUGGAAAAAGAGGAAAAUAACAGAUAACCUGUUGAAUUCCAUGUUACUUAAUACGCUGAGGCAUUUCUACUUGACUCUAAACAGUAUUCAGUUUCUCCCAUUCAACAGCGUAAAAAAAUCAGGAUUUCCUUAGAGUCUCACUAGUUGGGACAGCGCCGGUGCAAGAACCUACCUGAAACACUACACUUGCAACAGUCUUAACUUUUUUAUAAGUUCUCCAGGAUAAACACAGUACAUGAACCAAAUGGCCAGUAUCUGGCUAACCUAUGAAUUAUGCAAGACUAAGUCAUCAAAAGUCCACAGAAAACAGAUACAGCGGUGUUGGUUAUUGAUUACCAUGUCUUCCUUCUAAAUUUCAUUGUAUGACAGGUUUGUUUAUGAACUCCUCUGUGAGAAGUUCACAAAAGCUUAAACCCAGUAUCUAUAGGUAUGGAUUCCACCUCCUAAAUUAUAUAAUUGCAGUAAUUACAAGUGAGACAUGAUUAACAAGUUCUGCCACAAACCACCAAAUUAAUGGUAAGAAAAAGUUUAAGUAACUGAAGAGACAUGUACCUGUAUUUAGGUUUAUUCUAUACCC
RNAcentral lists this long non-coding RNA (5594 nucleotides) under Strigops habroptila (Kakapo). RNAcentral describes it as "lncRNA (ENSSHBG00005003225.1)". The record is from RNAcentral. Lineage: Eukaryota; Metazoa; Chordata; Aves; Psittaciformes; Psittacidae.